ACGCACGCUGGCGGCGUGCCUAAUACAUGCAAGUUGAGCGAUGAAGAUUGGUGCUUGCACCAAUUUGAAGAGCAGCGAACGGGUGAGUAACGCGUGGGGAAUCUGCCUUUGAGCGGGGGACAACAUUUGGAAACGAAUGCUAAUACCGCAUAAUAACUUUAAACAUAAGUUUUAAGUUUGAAAGAUGCAAUUGCAUCACUCAAAGAUGAUCCCGCGUUGUAUUAGCUAGUUGGUGAGGUAAAGGCUCACCAAGGCGAUGAUACAUAGCCGACCUGAGAGGGUGAUCGGCCACAUUGGGACUGAGACACGGCCCAAACUCCUACGGGAGGCAGCAGUAGGGAAUCUUCGGCAAUGGACGAAAGUCUGACCGAGCAACGCCGCGUGAGUGAAGAAGGUUUUCGGAUCGUAAAACUCUGUUGGUAGAGAAGAACGUUGGUGAGAGUGGAAAGCUCAUCAAGUGACGGUAACUACCCAGAAAGGGACGGCUAACUACGUG
RNAcentral lists this ribosomal RNA (496 nucleotides) under uncultured bacterium. RNAcentral's name for it is "partial 16S ribosomal RNA". It matches the Rfam family "Bacterial small subunit ribosomal RNA", at positions 29 to 507 of the family's 1533-position model. The record is from RNAcentral.